ACUCAACAUUUUACCUUUAUGAAAGGUGAGUCUCAAUUGUAAAAGCAAGCCGUCUUGAACGGAUCCUUGAUCAGUUAGUUAGCCUUAAUCUUGUUUUAAAGGAGUUU
RNAcentral lists this small RNA (107 nucleotides) under Lutibacter sp. RNAcentral's name for it is "6S RNA". It matches the Rfam family "6S-Flavo RNA". The record is from RNAcentral. Lineage: Bacteria; Pseudomonadati; Bacteroidota; Flavobacteriia; Flavobacteriales; Flavobacteriaceae.